UGGGGAAUAUUGGACAAUGGGCGAAAGCCUGAUCCAGCCAUGCCGCGUGUGUGAAGAAGGUCUUCGGAUUGUAAAGCACUUUAAAGUUGGGAGGAAGGGCAGUAAGCUAAUACCUUGCUGUUUUGACGUUACCGACAGAAUAAGCACCGGCUAACUUCGUGCCAGCAGCCGCGGUAAUACGAAGGGUGCAAGCGUUAAUCGGAAUUACUGGGCGUAAAGCGCGCGUAGGUGGUUUGAUAAGUUGGAUGUGAAAGCCCCGGGCUCAACCUGGGAAUUGCAUCCAAAACUGUCUGGCUAGAGUAUGGCAGAGGGUGGUGGAAUUUCCUGUGUAGCGGUGAAAUGCGUAGAUAUAGGAAGGAACACCAGUGGCGAAGGCGACCACCUGGGCUAAUACUGACACUGAGGUGCGAAAGCGUGGGGAGCAAAACAGGAUUAGAUACCCUGGUAG
This 448-nucleotide ribosomal RNA is filed under the name uncultured bacterium. RNAcentral describes it as "partial 16S ribosomal RNA". It matches the Rfam family "Bacterial small subunit ribosomal RNA", at positions 355 to 793 of the family's 1533-position model. The record is from RNAcentral.